This 166-nucleotide unclassified non-coding RNA is filed under the name soil metagenome. RNAcentral describes it as "partial internal transcribed spacer 1". The record is from RNAcentral.
GUGAAUUAAACAUGCUGGUGUCUUCGCUUCGGCAAGGCCCUUGCUUAAAUCACAUCCUAACACCUGUGAACUGUAAGACGUAUGAUGAGGUCUUUGGCCAAGUCAUCGUCUGCCCAUUUUUAACAAACAAUUAAUGUAACAAACGUAGUCUUAUUAUAACCUAAUA